This 421-nucleotide ribosomal RNA is filed under the name uncultured bacterium. RNAcentral's name for it is "partial 16S ribosomal RNA". It matches the Rfam family "Bacterial small subunit ribosomal RNA", at positions 360 to 773 of the family's 1533-position model. The record is from RNAcentral.
AAUAUUGGACAAUGGGGGCAACCCUGAUCCAGCCAUGCCGCGCGUGUGAAGAAGGNCUNNGGAGUNUNAAGCACUUUAAGUUGNNNNNAAGGGCUUUGGGUGAAUACCCUGAAGUUUUGACGUUACCAUCAGAAUAAGCAACGGCUCACUCUGUGCCAGCAGCCGCGGUAAUACAGAGGGUGCAAGCGUUAACCGGAAUUACUGGGCGUAAAGCGCGCGUAGGUGGUGCAGUAAGAUGAGUGUGAAAUCCCCGGGCUUAACCUGGGAACUGCUUUCAUAACUGCUGAGCUAGAGUACGGUAGAGGGUAGUGGAAUUUCCUGUGUAGCGGUGAAAUGCAUAGAUAUAGAAAGGAACACCAGUGGCGAAGGCGACUACCUGGACUGAUACUGACACUGAGGUGCGAAAGCGUGGGGAGCAAAC